GGGAGGCAAACAGGUGACAAAAUAUGUCCACGUUCUACUGAUUUAACAACAACUGACUUUACAAACCCAGGAAAAAACCAAACCGAACCAAAUAAGAGGCAGAAAAUGGGAAACUACGAACCUAGUACAAAAGAGGUCAAAGUGUUCUCCAUUUUGACUGGAAAGAUAAAAAACUGUCACAAGGAGUUUUUCGACAUUCUGAGAAACCGAAUUAAGAAUCUGAAGGAAGGACG
Long non-coding RNA from Onychostoma macrolepis, 233 nucleotides. RefSeq lists it as uncharacterized. The transcript is spliced from 3 exons. Lineage: Eukaryota; Metazoa; Chordata; Actinopteri; Cypriniformes; Cyprinidae. The record is from RefSeq and is a predicted model, not a curated record.